RNAcentral lists this ribosomal RNA (503 nucleotides) under uncultured endophytic bacterium. RNAcentral describes it as "partial 16S ribosomal RNA". The record is from RNAcentral.
AUUACCGCGGCUGCUGGCACGUAGUUAGCCGGUGCUUUUUCUGCAGGUACCGUCACUUUCGCUUCUUCCCUACUAAAAGAGGUUUACAACCCGAAGGCCGUCAUCCCUCACGCGGCGUUGCUGCAUCAGGCUUUCGCCCAUUGUGCAAUAUUCCCCACUGCUGCCUCCCGUAGGAGUCUGGGCCGUGUCUCAGUCCCAGUGUGGCCGGUCACCCUCUCAGGCCGGCUACCCGUCGUCGCCUUGGUGAGCCAUUACCUCACCAACAAGCUGAUAGGCCGCGAGUCCAUCCCCAACCAAAAAAUCUUUCCACCACCAGACCAUGCGGCCAGUGAUCAUAUCCAGUAUUAGACGUCGUUUCCAACGCUUAUCCCAGAGUCAGGGGCAGGUUACUCACGUGUUACUCACCCGUUCGCCACUAAUCCACCCAGCAAGCUGGGCAUCAUCGUUCGACUUGCAUGUGUUAAGCACGCCGCCAGCGUUCGUCCUGAGCCAGAUCCAACUCU